This is a long non-coding RNA of Homo sapiens (human), 1976 nucleotides long. Ensembl annotates it as SLC20A1 divergent transcript. Its record names the gene SLC20A1-DT. NCBI's taxonomy places the organism in Eukaryota, Metazoa, Chordata, Mammalia, Primates, Hominidae. The record is from Ensembl.
ACGUGGUCGCUUUGCUCCCGCAGUCAUGCACUUGGGUGAAAACAGACUGAAGAGUCACGGGAACCAGCUUGUCUCCCCAGUUAUGGCGCAGAGCUGCAAGGAUGGCUGUGGGUCAUUAAUUUCUCCGUGGCUGACCUGUGUUUGUAACGCCGCAGCUGUUGCGAGGGGGAAGGACACUGCUUCGGAUUCAAAUUCUGACUCCUUGCUGCAGUGUGUCACCUUGAGCCAGUCCCAGAUCUCUGCGUUCUCACAAUUGUAAAAUGUUAACAGAGGCUGCCUACCUUGUGGCUGGAAUUAAAUGAAUUAACGUGUGUGAAUGUGACUAGAAUUCAGUACAUGUUCAGGAAAAGCUGAUUUCCGCUUUGCUGUUACCGUGAAUAUUACUGUUUUAGGGUGUAGAAAAGGGUGGAAGGGGAUGUUAUUGCAUCCUGGAAGCUUAUCCUUUUGAGGUCUGUGAUAGUAGGUAGCUCUUCAAGUUGGCAAACACCUGCUGGACAACCCCUGAGAGAUUCAUCUGAGUGAGAGAGCACUCUCCAGCCCCAUCGGAGUGGGUUUGCAGGGAAAUCAUAAGGAAGAAAUCCUUAUCUUUCCAACACUGAGAUGCUUCUGCCGAAGAGUAGAAUGGGAGUGAGGGGACACGCAAAACGGGCUGCUGCCGGAGGAAGAGGAACAGUGUUGUGGCUCAUGCCAUAUGAAUGGGCUCACUGGCCUGGCCCAGACCCUGACUGCCCACAGGAUCUUUGGUGAGUCACUGUCACUGAGCCUGUGAGCCUAGGGUCCCUCUCCAACCUCACCCUCAGAGAGGACAGAACAAGAUGACCUGUGGCAUGCUGCAGAACACCAUGUUGGGGACUGUGGGUUUAGAGUCCUCUUGGGGACAUGUCCAUCGUUCACUAAUUCGGUGGAGUUGAGCUGCUGAGAGCUAGGAAAGCUACUCUCCCCCCGGAUCCCAACCUAGCCCUGUGGAAGACCAGACAAAAGAAGGAAGCAAUGACAUUUCUGCACUUUUUAGUUCAGAGAGGCACAGUCAAGGAAAUGCAUUUGAGGUCACUGUUCGAUGUACUUGAAGUACUCAUCCUGGAAAUAGUCUACUUGGAGUAGAGGGAGCUCAAGUGGGCAUGGGAACGUUGUGGAACCAGACCAGGAACAAAGGCGGCUUCAGAGGCCGUCUGUGAGGACUUGCAUGGGAGCAGGGGCGAGAACAUCCAGGGAAGAGAAGGUAGGAGCCUUGGAGUAAAGGAGAACCAGCUCCUCUCCACCCACCAAUGCCCUCCCCAUCCCCAGAUGAAUGAGGUAAUAAUAAUACCUGUAGCUGGACAUGGUGGCUCAAGCUUGUAAUCCCAGCAUUUUGGGAGGCCAAGGCGGGUGGAUCACCUGAGGACGGGAGUUCGAGACCAGCCUAUCAACAUGGAGAAACCCUGUCUCUACUAAAAAUACAAAAAUUAGUUGGGCACGGUGGUGCAUGGCUGUAAUCCCAGCUACUUGGGAGGCUGAGGCAGGAGAAUCACUUGAACCCGGGAGGCGGAGAUUGCGGUGAGCCAAGAUCGUGCCAUUGCACUCCAGCCUGGGCAACAAGAGCAAAACUCCAUCUCAAAAUAAUAAUAAUAAUAAUAUCUGUGAUGCAGUUGAAUGCUUACUGUGUGCCAGGUACUAUUUCAGGUGCUCUGCAUGGAUUAUCUCAGGUGAUGCUCUCAAUAAAUCUCAGAUGAGGUAUUUUCCCCUUACUUUAUAGACAGAGAAACGGAGGCACAGAGAAGGAAGCGGCAGUUAAAGCUGCGAAGAACCUAACAAAUUUCAAGAUUGUAAGUGCCUUUUCCCAGGAUGCCAGCAAGUACUGAGCCUGUAUUUUGAGCUGCAUCAAACCCUGUUGGAAUAAAAAAGGACAUUUCUAGGAGAUCAGUCUUCGAGAUUGGCCCCAGUUUCCCCAGAGUAGGAAGAGGCAGGAAGCCAGAGCACAUGUUCUCUCCAGAAAUAAA